UACGAAGGGGGCUAGCGUUGUUCGGAAUUACUGGGCGUAAAGCGCGCGUAGGCGGACCUGCAAGUCGGGGGUGAAAGCCCGAGGCUCAACCUCGGAACUGCCUUCGAUACUGCGGGUCUCGAGUCCGGGAGAGGUGAGUGGAACUGCGAGUGUAGAGGUGAAAUUCGUAGAUAUUCGCAAGAACACCAGUGGCGAAGGCGGCUCACUGGCCCGGUACUGACGCUGAGGUGCGAAAGCGUGGGGAGCAAACAGG
This 253-nucleotide ribosomal RNA is filed under the name uncultured bacterium. Its description in RNAcentral is "partial 16S ribosomal RNA". It matches the Rfam family "Bacterial small subunit ribosomal RNA", at positions 524 to 776 of the family's 1533-position model. The record is from RNAcentral.